RNAcentral lists this ribosomal RNA (512 nucleotides) under Pseudo-nitzschia australis. RNAcentral describes it as "partial Bacterial large subunit ribosomal RNA". It matches the Rfam family "Bacterial large subunit ribosomal RNA", at positions 436 to 945 of the family's 2925-position model. Lineage: Eukaryota; Bacillariophyta; Bacillariophyceae; Bacillariales; Bacillariaceae. The record is from RNAcentral.
GACUGAAUAUGGGGGGACCAUCCUCCAAGGCUAAAUACUCCCAGUUGACCGAUAGUGAACCAGUACCGUGAGGGAAAGGUGAAAAGCACCCCGACGAGGGGAGUGAAACAGCACCUGAAACCGGAUGCUUACAAACAGUAGGAGCCCAAGGUUCGUCCUGGGUGACUGCGUACCUUUUGUAUAAUGGGUCAGCGACUUAAAGUUACGAGCAAGCUUAAGCCGAUAGGUGGAGGCGUAGCGAAAGCGAGUCUGAACAGGGCGUUCAGUUCGUGGCUUUAGACCCGAAACCGAGUGAUCUAGCCAUGUGCAGGAUGAAGGUGGGGUAACACCCACUGGAGGUCCGAACCAGUGCCCGUUGAAAAGGUCUUGGAUGACGUGUGGCUAGGGGUGAAAGGCCAAUCAAACUCGGAAAUAGCUGGUUCUCCGCGAAAGCUAUUUAGGUAGCGCCUCGAGUGAAUACCGUGCGGGGUAGAGCACUGGAUGGGCUAGGGGGUCGCGAUAUCUACCAAACC